This 253-nucleotide ribosomal RNA is filed under the name uncultured bacterium. Its description in RNAcentral is "partial 16S ribosomal RNA". It matches the Rfam family "Bacterial small subunit ribosomal RNA", at positions 524 to 776 of the family's 1533-position model. The record is from RNAcentral.
UACGUAGGGGGCUAGCGUUGUUCGGAAUCACUGGGCGUAAAGAGCACGUAGGCGGAUCUUUAAGUCAGGGGUGAAAUCCUGGAGCUCAACUCCAGAACUGCCUUUGGUACUGGGGAUCUCGAGUCCGGAAGAGGUGAGUGGAACUCCGAGUGUAGAGGUGAAAUUCGUAGAUAUUCGGAAGAACACCAGUGGCGAAGGCGGCUCACUGGUCCGGUACUGACGCUGAGGUGCGAAAGCGUGGGGAGCAAACAGG